AUUUUAUUUCCAUAUCUGAGAUAGUCUCUCUUCUCACUAUUUCUUCAGUGAGAAGAAAUCCUUUAACGUGAGGAUUAAUGUAUGUCCCCUUAAUGAAUUUCUGACCACAAUUCCAAGUUAUUAUGAUAAUUAACACUGGCAAGAGUUAUCUAUUACAAUUUUUUAGAGUAUUCUUUAAACCCUUUAUUGUGAGAUAAAUGCAAUAAAAUUGUGACUGUUUCAUCUUGUACUUGAGUAUCUAGUUGGGUGCUUGGUACAUGACAAGGAUUCUAUAAAUCACUAGGCCUAUGGGCAUCUAUAUUGAGCAAGCUUAGCAGGAUGAACCACAGAGGGCAAGCCCGGAAAUCUCUCUGUCCCCAACUCUGCUCCCAUGCUUGUUUCUCUGCCCUGCAGCUGGGCUUCACUGCUAUUCAAGGUCACCAUCUAUUUUUUGGGGAACUCAGCAAUAGGCAACUGCCAGGCACAAAGUAGUAAAAUCUCCAUCAGGAAAUCAGCAACUCCAUGAGUCACCUCUGGCCAUUUGCCUAAGUUGAAAUGACCGUGCUUUCUGGGAAGAGAAUGCAUACAGGGAUCUGGGUAUCGCUGGGGCAGAGAUGAAAUCUGAACAAGGUAGCUGCCUCUCCACCCCCAAACAGGCCCCUCCACCUCAGGAUGGUUUCCCUGGUUUGGAGAACAUCUCCAGCUGACCACAGCAGUUCAAGCUGGCCCACCGCCAUCCACAGUCUACUCCAGGCAGACCAGGUUGCUUCCAAGUCUUGGCUGUCGUGGAUACUGCUGCAGAAAUCAUGGGAGUGCAAAUAUCUCUGGCAUACUGAUUUCCAGUCUUUUGGGUGAAUACCAAGCAAGUGGAAUACUGGAUCAUAAGGUCUGGAAGCUGCAAAGAUCAAGGUGACAGUAUUUUGAUGUCUGGUGAGAUCCUUCUUCUAUCUUCACACUGUGGAAAAAGAGAUGGGCAAAAGGGGACUAUUUCUCUCUAGCUCUUUUAUAAGGCAGGACUCCAUUCAUGACGACAGAGUCCGCAUGACCGAAUCACCUCUCAAAGAAUACUCCUUUUGAUACUGAGGCAUCAGGAAUUAAGUUUCAACAUGAAUUUUGGAGGGAACAUAAACAUUCAACCGUAGCAGAAGCAUUUUUCUUCGUCUGACACACAGGAAGACUGCAUUUUCCAGUCCUCUAGAAAGUUUUGCACUAGGGACUAUCCUUAGAUGCCAUGCAUUUUUUUUGUUUUUAUUACAUGCUCCUUAACUGGCUGAAUGAAGGGGAUGCAGUGGCAACACAAGGUGCGAAGAACCAUGAUCCCUGAAGUAUAUGGAAGGCCAUUUGCCAAACACACACCUGAUUAGUCUGUGAAGAGGCUAAGAAAUAAACCUUUAUUGUGUUAAACACUGAUCAUUCUGAGUUAAUUACAACAGCUAACAUUAAUUGCUUUGAUAAUGUGCACUGUUUAGCUCUCUGAAUUGUCUUGUCCUGGAUAAUUUUUCUAGUUAUUUCCCCAUUCAUAUUUUCACUUGGCACUUUGUUCCCAAAAAUAUCCUCUAGUAAAAAAUCUUUUGGUUCUACAUCGUGUGUGCUUUGAUCAAUUUUUCAUUGACUACUAUCUAAUUUUAAUUACCCACAUAAAGCUUCCAUAUUCCAAACAUCUCUCCGUGAACCACUGAUUCAAACCUACUUCCAAUAUCUGAUUCUUUAAAUUCUAGACAUGUGAUUCCAAUUUGAUCUUAAAAUCCUACAACAAUUUCUAGAAAUUACGAACUCUCUAUAUGUCCACCUUUUCUUCUACUUAUCUUCCUUUUAGCAGCUUUUAACGAUACAUGAAAAUAGUUGAGAAACUAGAACUUCUUGUCAGAACUACUUUUUACAAACUAGAACCUCAGAGAGCAAAUGAAUCUCACAUGAAUUAUUUCAUGAACACACAGAAAUGCAAGUGAUUGUCCAUUGAGCUCUUCAUUUGCAGGAGUCAUUAAAAAAUGCACACCCCCGCACACACACACACCUUUCUUAAAAAUGCUCUAGGCCACAUGCCCCUAAUUUCCACUUGCCCUAACUUUCCCUAUAAGAGUGCAAAGCUGAAUUACAGUCUUCUUAAUGUACACAUACAUUAUAAGUAUUAAGGAUUUUAAAAUGCAAUUCUACUAGUCUUCUAAUUUCAAUUACACACGGUACAAGGCAAUUUAACCUUUCAGAGAUAAUCCCAUCUACUUUGAAUAAUAGCAAAUCUGGAGUUACAAAAUACAUAAGCUAAGAAUUAAUUAGAGAUAUAAGCUAUAAUGCAAAUAAAAUAAUAAUUAUUAUAAUAGAGGAAUGCACAGUGUGCGAGAGCCCCGAAGAAGGCACAUUGGUGAAUAGUAGGUUGCACAGCAAUUUUCCAUGCAGAACGAGAGGAAAAGAGAAAAAAGGCUGACGAUGAUCAAAGCUUAGGUCCCAUGUGAAGUAUCGGAAAAUCAGGCUACACA
Callithrix jacchus (white-tufted-ear marmoset) is the source of this 2453-nucleotide long non-coding RNA. The record is from Ensembl. NCBI's taxonomy places the organism in Eukaryota, Metazoa, Chordata, Mammalia, Primates, Cebidae.